Molecule: ribosomal RNA, 427 nt
Filed under: uncultured bacterium
Lineage: Bacteria
Description: partial 16S ribosomal RNA
Rfam family: Bacterial small subunit ribosomal RNA
Source: RNAcentral
UGGGGAAUAUUGCACAAUGGGCGCAAGCCUGCUGCAGCCAUGCCGCGUGUGUGAAGAAGGCCUUCGGGUUGUAAAGCACUUUCAGCGAGGAGGAAGGGUAGUGUGUUAAUAGCACAUUGCAUUGACGUUACUCGCAGAAGAAGCACCGGCUAACUCCGUGCCAGCAGCCGCGGUAAUACGGAGGGUGCAAGCGUUAAUCGGCAUUACUGGGCGUAAAGCGCACGCAGGCGGUUUGUUAAGUCAGAUGUGAAAUCCCCGCGCUUAACGUGGGAACUGCAUUUGAAACUGGCAAGCUAGAGUCUUGUAGAGGGGGGUAGAAUUCCAGGUGUAGCGGUGAAAUGCGUAGAGAUCUGGAGGAAUACCGGUGGCGAAGGCGGCCCCCUGGACAAAGACUGACGCUCAGGUGCGAAAGCGUGGGGAGCAAACA